RNAcentral lists this ribosomal RNA (888 nucleotides) under Ophiocten ludwigi. RNAcentral describes it as "small subunit ribosomal RNA". Lineage: Eukaryota; Metazoa; Echinodermata; Ophiuroidea; Amphilepidida; Ophiuridae. The record is from RNAcentral.
AUUAGGCCAGGCCGCACCUUCCGGUACGCCUACUUUGUUACGACUUACUCCAGGUUUUACCCCGCAGGUGACGGGCGAUGUGUACGCAAUUUAGAGCUAACUUCAUAAAAGUUUUCUGCUCUCUUAUUACUAUUAAGUCCUAUUUUAAUUAUUAAUUUCAAAAAAAUAUUCAUCUCUCAUUUUAUAAUUAUUAAGUUAAUACUGUAGCCCAUUCUCACCUUUUUAUUAGCUCCAUCUCGAUCUGACAUCUAACUUUUUAGUAUUAUAGGCUUCUAGUUUACAAUGAAGACUUAAUGACGAUGAUAUAGAGGCUGAAAUUUUCAAAAAAAGGUUAGGUAUAUUGUGGAUUAUCAUUUUAUUCAAACAAGCUCCCCUAAUAAGAAUUAAAUUACCGCCAAGUCCUUUGUUUCUCAAAGAUGUCCUUCUUACUCCACCAGCAUAAAUUUUUGUUCUAAGAAUAACGGGAUAUCAAAGCCCGGUUUGCCCCUUAGUCUUAGCAGUUUCUCCUAUAUAAGAAAACCAAAGUGAAAUAUAUUUCCACAUAUGUUCUUCACGCUUUUAAUCUUUUAAUAAGGAUUUCUGUCUUAAGCUACCUAAUAUAUUGAAAAGACCGUCCGUUUAACCGCGGCUGCUGGCACGGUAUCUUCGCCAGUCUUUAUUAAAUAUAAUUUAAUCACCUCUUCAGGUAAGGUUAAAUAUUUAUUACUGCAGGUGUGAUGCUACUUAAUAGUUAUGUUAUUUACAAUUAGAUUAUUAAUCUUCCGACUCACUUGAAAGGUUUUAUUAAAUAAAAUUUUCAAUUCUCUCGGAUCCUCACCGGGGCGCUAAAGAAACUCGCAUGUAUAACUCUCUCAAAUUUCAAGAAUAAAAACCAGGACCAAAUUCAUU